This 411-nucleotide long non-coding RNA is filed under the name Ananas comosus (pineapple). RNAcentral's name for it is "long non-coding RNA (ACOM_LNC032877)". The record is from RNAcentral. Lineage: Eukaryota; Viridiplantae; Streptophyta; Magnoliopsida; Poales; Bromeliaceae.
UGAUAUUGUAACAUUUCAAUAAUUCCAUAUUGAAUGAAAAAUAAAUUAUGAUUGAGUAUAUAAGAGAUAUAUAAGAGAUUUUGAAUAAUAAUAAUAAUAAUAAUAAUAGAGCUUAAGUAUUUUGAGCCGGUAGUUUGGUCAUAAUAAGUUAUUCUUAUUAAUGGAUAGGAUCGUUACAUUUAGUAUUGAACUGUUUUAAAUGGGGAGAGUCUGUGACAUGAGUUUAAGCGUUUUAGGCCGAUGGUUUGGGCUCCAAUGAGUUAGUUAUUAUUGUUAGUGGGUCAUUACAGAUAUGAAAACCAUUCAUGGUGUAUAAAUACUUUUCGAGUGUCCUCAAAUAUGCAUCGAUAUAAAAUAUUGAGAAAUACAGAUUAAAAUGUUCAGAUAUUCUGAGAAUAUUAUAAUACGCAG